Molecule: transfer RNA, 73 nt
Filed under: Camelus bactrianus (Bactrian camel)
Lineage: Eukaryota; Metazoa; Chordata; Mammalia; Artiodactyla; Camelidae
Also listed under: 2 other names
Rfam family: tRNA
About the family: Transfer RNA (tRNA) molecules are approximately 80 nucleotides in length. Their secondary structure includes four short double-helical elements and three loops (D, anti-codon, and T loops).
Source: Rfam by way of RNAcentral
GAGGGUAUAGCUCAAGUGGUAGAGUGCAUGCUUAGCAUGCAUGAGGUUCUGGGUUCAAUCCCCAGCACCUCUU